AUUUCAACCAGAAGAGAGUACAGUUUUGGGUCCUGGGAUGUGGUUCUGUUCUGACAGGGUCCACUAUGAUGAUCACAGUGAAUAUGUGGGUAGAGGUCUGCUGUGACUGGCAGCGCAAGAAACUCAAAUGUUGUUUUGCAGAAUGAGCCUAACUCUCAACUGCUCUCCACUUUAACUUAGCACACCACCAAGCCAGCAAUUAAGACAUCCAAGAAUUUCAUGUUGAGGAAAGGGAAAAGACCCAAACAUUGCCAUGAGGACUCCAUAUGGAAGAAAAUGCAAGCAAAUCCAGCAUGGAAAAAUGAGGUAGAAGAAAUCAUAUAUUCCUUCACUGUAAAGAGAAAGUGAGUUUUAAAGAGGAAACAAUGGCUUCAAACAGCGUAUUUGAUUCACUUCCUUCUUACCAGCACUUCUUGAGAGGACAUCAGCUGGAACAACAGGAGAGCAGCCCACUGAAGCAUCCCAACCUGGUUUCUAACAGCAAAACUGUGCUCUUAAAUCUUCAUCUGCUUCCACUCUAAUUGGGCAGAGAAAAAUCAUCUGAGAAGCUAAAUGAAAAUUACUAGUCUAUAAAUGCCCGAGGCAAAGAAAAAGAGAGAGAGAGAGAAAAGGAUGGGAGGUCUCAUGUGAGUUUGGUUAGUGGGGAAAAAAAAAAAAAAGUACACAUUCUAAGUAUGGCUGCAUGUCAUUUUUCAAUUUGCUCAUGUUAAAUAAUGAUCUCUAGGGCAGAGAAGGAGUGGAGUGAAAAGGAAGAG
RNAcentral lists this long non-coding RNA (755 nucleotides) under Chrysolophus pictus (golden pheasant). RNAcentral's name for it is "lncRNA (ENSCPIG00010001333.1)". The record is from RNAcentral. Lineage: Eukaryota; Metazoa; Chordata; Aves; Galliformes; Phasianidae.